AUUGAACGCUGGCGGCAGGCCUAACACAUGCAAGUCGAGCGGCAGCACGGAGCUUGCUCUUGGAUCCAGCGGCGGACGGGUGAGUAAUGCCUAGGAACCUGCCUGGUAGUGGGGGAUAACGUCCGGAAACGGGCGCUAAUACCGCAUACGACCUGAGGGAGAAAGCGGGGGAUCUUCGGACCUCACGCUAUCAGAUCAGCCUAGGUCGGAUUAGCUAGUUGGUGGGGUAAAGGCCUACCAAGGCGACGAUCCGUAACUGGUCUGAGAGGAUGAUCAGGCACACUGGAACUGGGACACGGGCCAGGCUCCUACGGGGGGCAGCAGGGGGGAAAAUUGGGCAAUGGGCGGAAGGCCUAUCCAGGCAAGGCGGGUGGGGGAAGAAAGUCUUUGGAGUGGAAAAGCCUUUUAGGUGGGAGGGAAAAGAGUAAGGUAAAACCUUCCUGUUUAGACGGGUACAAGAGAAAAAAGACCGGCUAACUUCGGG
Molecule: ribosomal RNA, 484 nt
Filed under: uncultured bacterium
Lineage: Bacteria
Description: partial 16S ribosomal RNA
Rfam family: Bacterial small subunit ribosomal RNA
Source: RNAcentral